GUGAAUCAUCAAAUCUUUGAACGCAAAUUGCACUCUCUUCGGAGAGUAUGCCUGUUUGAGGGUCAGCAUUAAUAAAAAAAUCGGUUUGGUUGCAAAUUGUGACGUUUCCGGUGUUUGGGCUAUCUUUUCUUUUUUGGUUAAGGGGCUUAAAAUUGACCUUUUUUGCUCAUUUUUUUACGUACAUAAAUUUUUUUUUUAUUUGUCCAUUCUUAAUGCCAAAUUCUUAUUAGAUGCGAUCACAUCGUGUGGUUUCGUGUCUAUAAUAUUUUCAUGAUUUGACCUCAAAUUAGGUA
RNAcentral lists this unclassified non-coding RNA (293 nucleotides) under Glomeraceae sp. Its description in RNAcentral is "partial contains 5.8S ribosomal RNA and internal transcribed spacer 2". The stretch from base 1 to 65 matches the Rfam family "5.8S ribosomal RNA", at positions 84 to 154 of the family's 154-position model. Lineage: Eukaryota; Fungi; Glomeromycota; Glomeromycetes; Glomerales; Glomeraceae. The record is from RNAcentral.